This 445-nucleotide ribosomal RNA is filed under the name uncultured bacterium. RNAcentral's name for it is "bacterial SSU rRNA". It matches the Rfam family "Bacterial small subunit ribosomal RNA", at positions 330 to 793 of the family's 1533-position model. The record is from RNAcentral.
GCCAGACUCCUACGGGAGGCAGCAGUGGGGAAUAUUGCACAAUGGGGGAAACCCUGAUGCAGCGACGCCGCGUGAGUGAAGAAGUAUUUCGGUAUGUAAAGCUCUAUCAGCAGGGAAGAAAAUGACGGUACCUGAUUAAGAAGCCCCGGCUAACUACGUGCCAGCAGCCGCGGUAAUACGUAGGGGGCAAGCGUUAUCCGGAUUUACUGGGUGUAAAGGGAGCGUAGACGGCAGCACAAGUCUGGAGUGAAAUGCCGGCUUAACCCCGGAACUGCUUUGGAAACUGUGCAGCUAGAGUGCAGGAGAGGUAAGUGGAAUUCCUAGUGUAGCGGUGAAAUGCGUAGAUAUUAGGAGGAACACCAGUGGCGAAGGCGGCUUACUGGACUGUAACUGACGUUGAGGCUCGAAAGCGUGGGGAGCAAACAGGAUUAGAUACCCCCGUACG